UUUAAAAUUUUUGACAGUUGUAUUACUGGUUUUAUUUUACAAAAAGAUAGAAAAUAAUAUAAUACUAUGUAAUAAUAUACUAAUACAAUAGUAUAUAUUUAUUCAGUUUAAAUGUUAUAAUAAUUCUAUUGAUCUUAUUUUUUUGUAAAAGUAAUAAAUUACCCAUAAACUAAAAUAAGUAAAAUGAUUGUUACUAUAUUAUAAUGAUUGUAGUUCUUGAAAGGUCUAACCGCUAUUAGUCUGUAUGCAAUAAGCCUGAAAAACAGUAACAUGAACGUCUGAAACAUGAACACGUUUUAUUAUUGCGUUUUUUUAUUGACAGUCGUAGGGACGUUGAACUCGUACAUUCGGAAUCCUACAGACUAUCUUUGGUCCUGGAGUGGUCCGAGAAUUAAAUAGUCGCUUCCUUUUAUCAUCGCCCAGUCCUAUGUGGCCAAUCCAAAACGGAUUUUGUGUUGUUAUGGAUAUGACAAAGAUACACCUAUGAAAUAAUUUUACGAACAUAAUAAUUUUUAAAAUAUUAAAGUUUUAUUCCAGAAAUCUUAAUUGUAGGUGUAGGUACGCUACGUUGAAAAUA
Non-coding RNA from Cinara cedri, 577 nucleotides. Lineage: Eukaryota; Metazoa; Arthropoda; Insecta; Hemiptera; Aphididae. The record is from the annotation of a GenBank genome assembly.